Molecule: ribosomal RNA, 636 nt
Filed under: Triticum aestivum (bread wheat)
Lineage: Eukaryota; Viridiplantae; Streptophyta; Magnoliopsida; Poales; Poaceae
Description: partial small subunit ribosomal RNA
Source: RNAcentral
AUGGUUCGAGACCUUGCUAAUGUGGUUGUUCCGGCAACAUCGAUGCCGGAGGAGGAUGGUGCGGACAAAGGCGGAGCGGACAAGGUGAGCAAAGGUCAGCGUAAGAGGGAGAAGAUUUACUGUUUUCGCUGUGGAGAGCCCGGUCACUAUGCGGUUGGAUGUACAACGGAGCUGUGUGAUAUUUGCUUGAGACCGAAACAUGAGGCCGAAUGCCCUCUUCUUUCAGAUCCUAAGCCGGUGGUGAACUUUUAUGGAGUGUGCGAUGAAAAAAUUAUGUUCUUUGAGGCACCCAUGAUGAGGUCUUGCAGACCUAGGCUUGAGAAUGCCAGAACUGGUGUGAUUCGUGUGACUAAGGGCACUUUGUCUGAGGACCAAAUUAUUUUGCAGCUUAAGAGACUGGUUUCCUCGUCUUUUCAGUGGGCGCUCGUUCGGAUUGAUGAGAAGACAUUUAAGGUUGACUACCCAACAAGUAUGAUCUUGAUAAGAUUAAUGAGUUUGGCAUGUGUAAGGUACCGGGCAGUUCUUGUAUUCUUGAAUUCGAUGAGUGGAAGCGAAACGAUCCGGUGGGAACUCCGCUUACUCAGCUUUGGGUCAGGUUCUUUGGGCUUCCACCGGAGCCACUCAACGAUUUCCUAG